GACAGCGGGUUCGUCCGCCAGCGCCGGCAAAUCCCGCCCAUGGCUGGACAGCGAGGUGAGGUUACCAAUUUCGCACAUUAUUUUAGUAUUUUACCUCAACUUGAACAGAUUUUAUUUCGAUAUAUCAGUAUGUUUACAAAUAAGUACUAAUUAGUACAGCAGAAUUGACCAAUCUCGAUGAGAGCAGGAACGAUUGCAAGCAUGUUCUACAGUCGCAACCCCUCUCACGAAACCCCGACAAUCGAUCGCCGGCAAGCGGUUUUGCUGCUGGCGACGCAUCACGGAUGGGAAGCAGCGGGAUGCCUUCUCACAUUCGCGUUCACGCUAGCAUCGAGAGGAGAUGGGGGCGAUAGUUUUGCAUUGCUCUUUCAGAUCCACAGCCACUAGGAAACAAUAAGAUGGAUCUUGAUUUUUUCUUUUGCCUCACUUGUACACUGAGUUCCUUUUGUCUCAGUUGUGCUCGAGCAUUUAAGAUCUGGGAAGCUAUAGUGGUUGGAAUGUGUGGAUGAUGGAUGGUGCUGCUUAGACUUGGUGUCCUACUUAUCCAUGAUUUGGAGAUACAAAACAUGUACUACAAGAUUAUAUAGCCUAGAUGAUUUGGACUCUCUGAAGCAUAUUCGGAUUAUGAGAACAGGAUCAUUAUUGUUAAGUCUGAGAUUGAUGGCGAAAGAGCUGUGAUUCAGCUAUGGGACUAAACAUGGAAAUCACAGUUUGAAGGAAUCUAACAACAGUUCCCAACUUCCCAUUGUACUUAUGUGGGGUAUGAACCCCUCCCAUGUUUUCCCUCUCGAUCGAUUAAUUAUGUUUCUCUGUUUCCAGUGUUUGUUCCCCUCUCAGAUUUGGUGCGAUGAUCCAGUGUUACACCCGAAUGAACCUGUGGCAUGAAUGUAUAUACUGAAAUUUGUUUCUCAGUAUACAUUGUUCUCCUUCUAUUUCAUUGAUUAUGAUUUGAUCUGGGCAUUUUGUACCUGCCAAGAGCAUGGUCAGAGGCAGUAACGAGGCAACAUACAUCAUAGGUCGUAUGGUCUUUAUCCUUCGACAACAUUCAAUUAGUUAGUCUCAAUAUUCAUUCAUCAUGUGAUGGUAUUUUCCUUAAUUUACUUAUUGCUCAUGUUUGUGUUGUGAAAAGGAACAGCGUAUUAUGAACCAUAUGAGGCAAGCUCUGAUGAGGCAUUUACCUGCAAGGGACAGAAGGGCCGUGCCUGCUUUAAGAUACAGCCGUUCCGGUGCUUCCACAACAUCCAUGGGACAAGGAGAGUCGCAAAAGCUAGAUCUUUUGUGUAGUGGCUUUGGAGUUCCGUGUCUUAAAUCGAUCCACCAAUCAUGGAGAGUUGCUCGGCGUCCGAAGGCAUGCAGGUCAUGCGCAGCCAAGUCAAAACCUCAUGCUAGACUUGCCUGGAGAAGGGGCUAUAUCAAUAUCAAGAUUCUUUACCAUAAGUAUUCACUAUGUUGAAGAUGCGGUCUUCAUAAUAUGUAUUUACUCGCCAUGUUAGAAUUGUUUCCAUCGGCUCCAUGCAAAUGCCCAUUUAUGUCUACAAAUAAAUCGACCUGUAUGCAAAUGCAAAUUUAUAUUAAAAAUAAUUUUGAAUCAUGGGGAUUUUUUUUAUCA
Long non-coding RNA from Lolium rigidum, 1609 nucleotides. RefSeq lists it as uncharacterized. Lineage: Eukaryota; Viridiplantae; Streptophyta; Magnoliopsida; Poales; Poaceae. The record is from RefSeq and is a predicted model, not a curated record. The transcript has 4 exons.